UUUCAACGGAGAGUUUGAUCCUGGCUCAGGACGAACGCUGGCGGCGUGCUUAACACAUGCAAGUCGAGCGGUAAGGCUCCUUCGGGAGUACACGAGCGGCGAACGGGUGAGUAA
Molecule: ribosomal RNA, 114 nt
Filed under: Nocardioidaceae bacterium
Lineage: Bacteria; Bacillati; Actinomycetota; Actinomycetes; Propionibacteriales; Nocardioidaceae
Description: partial 16S ribosomal RNA
Rfam family: Bacterial small subunit ribosomal RNA
Source: RNAcentral